Molecule: non-coding RNA, 107 nt
Organism: Malassezia cuniculi
Lineage: Eukaryota; Fungi; Basidiomycota; Malasseziomycetes; Malasseziales; Malasseziaceae
Source: the annotation of a GenBank genome assembly
GGUAGAAUGGCCGAGUGGUCUAAGGCGCUUGAUUCAAGUAUUUGGAUAUUUCGACGGUUGCACGUCGAGCACCCAAGUUUUCCUGGGUUCGAACCCCAGUUCUACCA